AGAGUUUGAUCAUGGCUCAGAACGAACGCUGGCGGCAGGCCUAACACAUGCAAGUCGAGCGCCCAGCAAUGGGGAGCGGCGCACGGGUGAGUAACACGUGGGAAUAUGCCUCGGGAUCGGGAAUAACGGCGGGAAACUGCCGCUAAUGCCCGGUACGCCUUGAGAGGGAAAGGAGCAAUCCGUCCUGAGAGUAGCCCGCGUUGGAUUAGCUAGUUGGUGGGGUAACGGCCCACCAAGGCUACGAUCCAUAGCUGGUCUGAGAGGAUGAUCAGCCACACUGGGAAUGAGACACGGCCCAGACUCCUACGGGAGGCAGCAGUGGGGAGUAUUGGACAAUGGGGGAAACCCUGAUCCAGCCAUGCCGCGUGAGUGAAGAAGGCCUUAGGGUUGUAAAGCUCUUUCGCACGCGACGAUGAUGACGGUAGCGUGAGAAGAAGCCCCGGCUAACUUCGUGCCAGCAGCCGCGGUAAUACGAAGGGGGCAAGCGUUGUUCGGAUUUACUGGGCGUAAAGGGCGCGUAGGCGGAACGACAAGUCAGAGGUGAAAGCCCUGGGCUCAACCCGGGAAUUGCCUUUGGGACUGCCGUUCUAGAGUUCGGAAGAGGAUGGCGGAAUACCCAGUGUAGAGGUGAAAUUCGUAGAUAUUGGGUAGAACACCGGUGGCGAAGGCGGCCAUCUGGUCCGACACUGACGCUGAGGCGCGAAAGCGUGGGGAGCAAAACAGGAUUAGAUACCCUGGUAGUCCACGCCGUAAACUAUGUGUGCUAGCCGUCGGAACACUUCGGUGUUUCGGUGGCGCAGCUAACGCGGUAAGCACACCCGCCCUGGGGAGUACGGCCGCAAGGUUAAAACUCAAAGGAAUUGACGGGGGCCCGCACAAGCGGUGGAGCAUGUGGUUUAAUUCGACGCAACGCGAAGAACCUUACCAGCCCUUGACAUGGGCGUCGCCGGGACCAGAGACGGUCCCUUCGGUUCGGCCGGACGCUACACAGGUGCUGCAUGGCUGUCGUCAGCUCGUGUCGUGAGAUGUUGGGUUAAGUCCCGCAACGAGCGCAACCCCUGUGUCCUGUUGCCACCCGGCCGAGAGGCUGGAGCACUCUGGACAGACUGCCUCAUUUAAAUGAGGAGGAAGGUGGGGAUGACGUCAAGUCAGUAUGGCCCUUACGGCCAGGGCUGCACACGUACUACAAUGCCCGGCACAAAGGGAAGCAAGACCGCGAGGUGGAGCAAAUCCCAUAAAACCGGGCCCAGUUCAGAUUGAAGGCUGCAACUCGCCUUCAUGAAGCUGGAAUCGCUAGUAAUGGCGCAUCAGCUACGGCGCCGUGAAUACGUUCCCAGGCCUUGUACACACCGCCCGUCACAUCAUGAAAGCCGGUUGUACCCGAAGUCGUCCCUUAAAAGACGCCGAAGGUAUGGCUGGUGAUUGGGAUGAAGUCGUAACAAGGUAGCCGUAGGGGAACCUGCGGAUGGAUCACCUCCUU
Molecule: ribosomal RNA, 1480 nt
Filed under: uncultured bacterium
Lineage: Bacteria
Description: bacterial SSU rRNA
Rfam family: Bacterial small subunit ribosomal RNA
Source: RNAcentral